UUUGGCGCCUGCGCCCUGAGUGCGUGCCGCUCCGCCGACCGAAGAGGCUGGACAUGACACCAGUGGCAUAUCACGGCCAUGGGGUCUCAGCAUUCCGCUGCUGCUCGCCCCUCCUCCUGCAGGCGAAAGCAAGAAGAUGACAGGGACGGUUUGCUGGCUGAACGAGAGCAGGAAGAAGCCAUUGCUCAGUUCCCAUAUGUGGAAUUCACCGGGAGAGAUAGCAUCACCUGUCUCACGUGCCAGGGGACAGGCUACAUUCCAACAGAGCAAGUAAAUGAGUUGGUGGCUUUGAUCCCACACAGUGAUCAGAGAUUGCGCCCUCAGCGAACGUGAGUUACCUGCUUCUCACCUGUUAAUACCUACUUCUGUCCCUAAUCUCUUUCUCUAUGUAUGAAUGCCAGUUAAUUCUUUGAAAACUACACAUGUUCUUAUAAGUUCCCCAUUUUCCUUAUAACUGUUUGCCCAAGCAAGAUAUCUCUGCCCCCAUCACAAUCUGGGGAAAGAAACUUGAAGCUGGAAAUGCUUUGAAGGUCAAGGAAUGGAAUCAGAAGAAACUGGGAAAGUGGAGUGUUCUGGGAGGUGUGGGACUAUCUCUGUCCACAUAGCUCCUUUCUUCAGCUUUUCUUCCCAGAGUGCAAACAGUGUUUAAAGGAGUUUUAAAAGGUUUCUCCUGCUUCACUGCUUCUUAACUGGUUUAUGGUUCCAAGCUCUUGGAACUUCCCUUUCAACUCCCUUCUCUUUCCUGGUUUUGUGUUUAAUCUUGACACAUUGAACCUUGAUAUCUGACUGCCUGGGUCGGUCAUGUGCUGUGUCAUUUGCAGUAAGCAAUAUGUCCUCCUGUCCAUCCUGCUUUGUCUCCUGGCAUCUGGUUUGGUGGUUUUCUUCCUGUUUCCGCAUUCAGUCCUUGUGGAUGAUGACGGCAUCAAAGUGGUGAAAGUCACAUUUAAUAAGCAAGACUCCCUUGUAAUUCUCACCAUCAUGGUAAGCCUUAGGGUUUCAUUCCCUGGGUUGUGCACCUGCCAGGCUGGGACCCAGGACACUUACACUUGUUUCCUGACUUGCCCUGAUGUAGGCCACCCUGAAAAUCAGGAACUCCAACUUCUACACGGUGGCAGUGACCAGCCUGUCCAGCCAGAUUCAGUACAUGAACACAGUGGUCGGUACAUAUGUGACUACUAACGUCUCCCUUAUUCCACCUCGGAGUGAGCAACUGGUGAAUUUUACCGGGAAGGCCGAGAUGGGAGGACCGUUUUCCUAUGUGUACUUCUUCUGCACGGUACCUGAGAUCCUGGUGCACAACAUAGUGAUCUUCAUGCGAACUUCAGUGAAGAUUUCAUACAUUGGCCUCAUGACCCA
RNAcentral lists this small RNA (1356 nucleotides) under Pan troglodytes (chimpanzee). RNAcentral describes it as "retained intron". Lineage: Eukaryota; Metazoa; Chordata; Mammalia; Primates; Hominidae. The record is from RNAcentral.